RNAcentral lists this ribosomal RNA (459 nucleotides) under uncultured bacterium. RNAcentral describes it as "bacterial SSU rRNA". It matches the Rfam family "Bacterial small subunit ribosomal RNA", at positions 32 to 517 of the family's 1533-position model. The record is from RNAcentral.
AAUCAACGCUGGCGGCGUGCCUAACACAUGCAAGUCGAACGGGAAAACGGGGGCAACCCCGUGAGUACAGUGGCGUACGGGUGAGUAACACGUGACUAACCUACCUUCGAGUGGGGGAUAACCCCGGGAAACCGGGGCUAAUACCGCAUAACAUCGUAAGAUCAAAGGAGCAAUCCGCUUGAAGAGGGGGUCGCGGCUGAUUAGCUAGUUGGUAGGGUAAUGGCCUACCAAGGCGAUGAUCGGUAGCCGGCCNGAGAGGGCGCACGGCCACACUGGAACUGAAACACGGUCCAGACUCCUACGGGAGGCAGCAGUGGGGAAUUUUGCGCAAUGGGGGAAACCCUGACGCAGCAACGCCGCGUGGAGGAUGAAGUCCCUUGGGACGUAAACUCCUUUCGACCGGGACGAUUAUGACGGUACCGGUGGAAGAAGCCCCGGCUAACUUCGUGCCAGCAGCCG